AUCCAGGGUGUUUGAAGCCCGUGUAGGGUUUAGAAAUGGAUGAAAAGCCACCAUCUUGAUGAUAUUUACAGUAGCUCUGCUUGGAGUUCAGCUCACAAAGCAAGCACAAGUUCUGGUAAAUGCUAGGUUUUUGAUUAUUAGGACAGCGAAUGACGUUUCCAAGGACAGCGAAUGACGUUUCCAGCUAGUCCUGAAUUUGUGCGGCAGCUCUUCUGUAUGUAGCUGGCUCGUCUUCCGCCCACAGAUGCUGGCUCACACCCAUUUUGUGUGGGCAAAGCCUGUCUUUGUACAUUCAAAAUGGGCAUCUGUUCACUUCUGUGGGUGCAGGCCUGUUGCAAAAGCAAGCGUGCAGAAUCUGGAGGUGGGCCCCAAAAGUUUCCCCUGUAUGGUUAGAGGAGCAAAGUCCUAGCAGUGGCUCAGUACCUGGGGUGGUUUGCUUUGGCAGAGCAAAGGAAAUAGAUGGAAGUGCCCACAAGGUUCCCACCCAGAGCAUGCUGAGUAACUUUCUAGCUGCAUUGUUCCAGGGACGUGCUAAGCUCUUUGCUGGGGCAGAUGCAUGCUGGUGAAAUGGAAUCUUGAUACGUGCAUAAAUGAUCUGAGGGUGCGGAAGAAAGGUCUCUCAAAGUUUGCUGUACAAAUAUGUCUAUUCAGUGAAAUGCUAGGUUGUAAGAGUGUAAUGGACGGGCCAGUGUGCAGGAGACCCACUUGAACAUACAUACAUGUGUUGCCUCCAGAGUCUGGAGACUCACGGGGAUAUACCAGUAGCCAGGCGGGGGUGUGUGUUGGGGGGUAGGGAUUCUCCUUCAGCUCCUGUAGGAUAGCCUGUGUGUUGGGAACACGAGGAACAGAGCUCUAAUCUGUGCUGCUUGAACAAGGAUCUGUCUGGGUGGGGAACAUGUAACUCUUUGGGGGCAGGUGACUUUCUGAGUCUGGAAGUGGAUUUUAAUUGACACUGGUGAGUUUGUUAAUAGCUUAGCUGGUGUGUUGCAUUUUGUACAUAUACUUUGGGGAGUCUUGUUGGGAGAUAACCUCAUACGUUGUCACACAUAUGUAUACAUAUAUAAAUAUGUUGUAAUACGUUAUAGGCUAUUUGAGGCCUAGU
RNAcentral lists this long non-coding RNA (1102 nucleotides) under Chrysemys picta bellii (western painted turtle). RNAcentral describes it as "lncRNA (ENSCPBG00000027054.1)". Lineage: Eukaryota; Metazoa; Chordata; Testudines; Emydidae. The record is from RNAcentral.